Molecule: long non-coding RNA, 1613 nt
Organism: Oncorhynchus tshawytscha (Chinook salmon)
Lineage: Eukaryota; Metazoa; Chordata; Actinopteri; Salmoniformes; Salmonidae
Source: Ensembl
AGAGAGAAGAGAGAGAGACGAGAAAGAGAGAGAGAGAGGAGAAAGAGAGAGGAGAGAGAAGAGAAAGAGAGAGGAGAAAGAGAGAGAGAGAGAAAGAGAGAAGAGAGAGAGAGAGGAGAAAGAGAGACGAGAAAGAGAGAGAGAGAGAGAGGAGAGAGAGAGACGAGAAAGAGAGAGGAGAGAGAGAGAGAGAGAGAGGAGAGAGAGACGAGAAAGAGAGAGGAGAGAGAGAGGAGAGAGAGACGAGAAAGAGAAAGAGAGGAGAGAAGAGAGAGAGAGGAGAGAGAGACAAGAAAGAGAAAGAGAGGAGAGAGAGAGGAGAGAGAGAGGAGAAAGAGAGAGAGAGGAGAAAGAGAGAGAGGAGAAAGAGAGAGAGAGGAGAAAGAGAGAGAGAGGAGAAAGAGAGAGAGAGGAGAAAGAGAGAGAGAGGAGAAAGAGAGAGAGAGGAGAAAGAGAGGAGAAAGAGAGAGAGAGGAGAAAGAGAGAGAGAGGAGAAAGAGAGAGAGAGGAGAAAGAGAGAGAGAGGAGAAAGAGAGGAGAAAGAGAGAGAGAGGAGAAAGAUAGAGAGAGGAGAAAGAGAGAGAGAGGAGAAAGAGACGAGAGAGGAGAGAGAGAGGAGAAAGAGAGAGAGGAGAAAGAGAGAGAGAGGAGAAAGAGAGAGAGAGGAGAAAGAGAGAGAGGAGAAAGAGAGAGAGAGAGAGAGAGAAGAAAGAACUGUUAAACAGAGAAAGAGAUCUGAAGGGAGGCUCUAUCCUAAGAUCAAAUCAAAAUUAAAUGUUAUUUGUCACAUGCGCUGAAUACAACCUUCCUAUGAAAUGCUUACUUACAAGUCCUUAACUUUAUUUUCUUUAAACUGCAUUGUUGGUUAAGAAAAUAUUUUUAAAAUGUCAACAAAAUAACUGAGGCUAUAAACAGGGGGCACCGGUACCGAGUCAGUGUGAGGGGUACAGGUCAAAGGUCAUUUGUAUAUGUAGGUAGGGGUGAAGUGACUAUACAUAGAUAAUAAACAGUAGUACAGGUUAAAGGUCAUUUGUAUAUGUAGGUAGGGGUGAAGUGACUACGCAUAGAUAAUAAACAGUAGUACAGGUUAAAGGUCAUUUGUAUAUGUAGGUAGGGGUGAAGUGACUAUACAUAGAUAAUAAACAGUAGUACAGGUUAAAGGUCAUUUGUAUAUGUAGGUAGGGGUGAAGUGACUAUACAUAGAUAAUAAACAGUAGUACAGGUUAAAGGUCAUUUGUAUAUGUAGGUAGGGGUGAAGUGACUCCGAUGGCCAUUCGAUGAAUUGUUCAGCAGUCUUCUGCCUUGGGGGUAAGAAGCUGUUCAGGAGCCUUCUGGUCCUAGACUUGGCGCUCUGGUACCGCUUGCCGUGCGGUAGCAGAGAAAACAAACAGUCUAUGACUGGGGUGGUUGGAGUCUUUGACAACUUUUAGGGCCUUCUACUGACACCGCCUGGUGUUGAGGUCCUGAAUGGCAGGAAGCUUGGCCCCAGUGAUGUACUGGGCCGUACGCACUACCCUCUGUAGUGCCUUACGGUCAGAUGCUGAGUAGUUGCCAUACCAGGCGGUGAUGCAACCGGUCAGGAUGUUCUCGAUGGUGCAGCUGUAGAAUUUUUU